GUGCUCACUUCAGCAGCACAUGUACUAAAAUUGAAAGAUACAAAGAAGAUUGGCAUGACCCCUGUGCAAGGAUGACAUGCAAAUUCUUGAAGUGUUCCAUAUUUUU
This 106-nucleotide small nuclear RNA is filed under the name Bos grunniens (domestic yak). The record is from RNAcentral. Lineage: Eukaryota; Metazoa; Chordata; Mammalia; Artiodactyla; Bovidae.